CGUACACUCCUACGGGAGGCAGCAGUGGGGAAUAUUGGACAAUGGGCGCAAGCCUGAUCCAGCCAUGCCGCGUGAGUGAUGAAGGCCCUAGGGUUGUAAAGCUCUUUCACCGGUGAAGAUAAUGACGGUAACCGGAGAAGAAGCCCCGGCUAACUUCGUGCCAGCAGCCGCGGUAAUACGAAGGGGGCUAGCGUUGUUCGGAUUUACUGGGCGUAAAGCGCACGUAGGCGGACUAUUAAGUCAGGGGUGAAAUCCCGGGGCUCAACCCCGGAACUGCCUUUGAUACUGGUAGUCUUGAGUGCGAGAGAGGUGAGUGGAAUUCCGAGUGUAGAGGUGAAAUUCGUAGAUAUUCGGAGGAACACCAGUGGCGAAGGCGGCUCACUGGCUCGAUACUGACGCUGAGGUGCGAAAGCGUGGGGAGCAAACAGGAUUAGAAACCCCGGUAGUCC
This 449-nucleotide ribosomal RNA is filed under the name uncultured organism. RNAcentral's name for it is "partial 16S ribosomal RNA". It matches the Rfam family "Bacterial small subunit ribosomal RNA", at positions 330 to 796 of the family's 1533-position model. The record is from RNAcentral.